Salarias fasciatus (jewelled blenny) is the source of this 316-nucleotide long non-coding RNA. RefSeq lists it as uncharacterized. NCBI's taxonomy places the organism in Eukaryota, Metazoa, Chordata, Actinopteri, Blenniiformes, Blenniidae. The record is from RefSeq and is a predicted model, not a curated record. The transcript is spliced from 3 exons.
UGUGUGUGUGUGUGUGUGUGUGUGUGUGUGUGUGUGUGUGUGUGUGUGUUUUGCGUGUUUUUAUGAAGCCAGUGUGUGUGGACAUCCUGUGUGCUCAGUAGGCUGGAAUUAGAGCACAGCGUGUUAUGCAAUUAUAACUUUAUAAAUAGAAGCAUUGUGUGUGUGUGUGUGUGUGUGUGUGUGUGUGUGUGUGUGUGUGUAGGCCUCCGUCUCCAUCUGCUUGACUUGUUCUAACUGAACAACUCCACAAAUGCUCAUUUUAUUGUUUCAUUGCAUCUUUUUUUUCUUUUUUAAAUGUGCACGCCGUGUUUCACAC